This 241-nucleotide long non-coding RNA is filed under the name Oryza brachyantha (malo sina). Its description in RNAcentral is "long non-coding RNA (OBRA_LNC001023)". The record is from RNAcentral. Lineage: Eukaryota; Viridiplantae; Streptophyta; Magnoliopsida; Poales; Poaceae.
GCUUAGGUUUUCCAAUCUAAUAGCUAACGUGAGAUUGAUCUACGGUGCGGAAUUCAAUUUCGUACGUGUAGAUUGAUUUUACGUUAAAGUCGUUUAGUUUUCAGUUUAGCGAGUCGUUAAAUCUUGAUUUAACGGGUCGUCUAAUUCCCGUCGUUGUUUCGCUAACAGUGCACGGUUUCGCGUUUCGGAUCUAAUUCGUCGUGCGAAUCUAUAUUCACGCAUGUUUUAGUUCUGUUUUGCG